GAUGUACUCCCUCCGUCCGGAAUUAGUUGACGCUCAAACGGAUGUAUCUAGACGUAUUUCAGAGCUAGGUACAUCCGUUUGAAUGUCAACUAAUUCCGGACGGAGGAAGUAGAUG
Triticum urartu is the source of this 115-nucleotide non-coding RNA. The record is from Rfam. Lineage: Eukaryota; Viridiplantae; Streptophyta; Magnoliopsida; Poales; Poaceae.